GUCCCUUCCGGGACAUCCGAUAAAAUUGGAACCAUACAGAGAAGAUUAGCAUGGCCCUGCACAAGGAUGACACGCACAAAUCAAUAAAUGGUCCAAAUUUUU
This is a small nuclear RNA of Lycium barbarum (goji berry), 102 nucleotides long. The record is from RefSeq and is a predicted model, not a curated record. NCBI's taxonomy places the organism in Eukaryota, Viridiplantae, Streptophyta, Magnoliopsida, Solanales, Solanaceae.